This 878-nucleotide ribosomal RNA is filed under the name Podonectria novae-zelandiae. RNAcentral's name for it is "partial large subunit ribosomal RNA". It matches the Rfam family "Eukaryotic large subunit ribosomal RNA", at positions 52 to 948 of the family's 3401-position model. The record is from RNAcentral. Lineage: Eukaryota; Fungi; Ascomycota; Dothideomycetes; Podonectriaceae.
GGAGGAAAAGAAACCAACCGGGAUUGCCUCAGUAACGGCGAGUGAAGCGGCAUCAGCUCAAAUUUGAAAUCUGGCUCCUCUGGGGCCCGAGUUGUAAUUUGCAGAGGGCGCUUUGGCGUUGGCAGCGGUCUAAGUUCCUUGGAACAGGACGUCACAGAGGGUGAGAAUCCCGUACGUGGUCGCUAGCGUUCGCCGUGUAAAGCCCCUUCGACGAGUCGAGUUGUUUGGGAAUGCAGCUCUAAAUGGGAGGUAAAUUUCUUCUAAAGCUAAAUACUGGCCAGAGACCGAUAGCGCACAAGUAGAGUGAUCGAAAGAUGAAAAGCACUUUGGAAAGAGAGUCAAACAGCACGUGAAAUUGUUGAAAGGGAAGCGCUUGCAGCCAGACUUGCCUGUAGUUGCUCAUCCAGGCUUUUGCCCGGUGCACUCUUCUGCAGGCAGGCCAGCAUCAGUUUGGGCGGUUGGAUAAAGGCCUCUGUCACGUACCUCCCUUCGGGGAGGCCUUAUAGGGGAGGCGGCAUGCAACCAGCCUGGACUGAGGUCUGCGCAUCUGCUAGGAUGCUGGCGUAAUGGCUGUAAGCGGCCCGUCUUGAAACACGGACCAAGGAGUCUAACAUCUAUGCGAGUGUUUGGGUGUCAAGCCCGAGCGCGGAAUGAAAGUGAACGGAGGUGGGAUCCCUUGCGGGUGCACCAUCGACCGAUCCUGAUGUCUUCGGAAGGAUUUGAGUAAGAGCAUGGCUGUUGGGACCCGAAAGAUGGUGAACUAUGCUUGAAUAGGGUGAAGCCAGAGGAAACUCUGGUGGAGGCUCGCAGCGGUUCUGACGUGCAAAUCGAUCGUCAAAUUUGGGCAUAGGGGCGAAAGACUAAUCGAACUAUCUAGU